Molecule: transfer RNA, 74 nt
Filed under: Arcanobacterium sp.
Lineage: Bacteria; Bacillati; Actinomycetota; Actinomycetes; Actinomycetales; Actinomycetaceae
Also listed under: 9 other names
Description: tRNA-Cys
Rfam family: tRNA
About the family: Transfer RNA (tRNA) molecules are approximately 80 nucleotides in length. Their secondary structure includes four short double-helical elements and three loops (D, anti-codon, and T loops).
Source: RNAcentral
GGUGGGUUGGCCGAGAGGCGAGGCAGCGGCCUGCAAAGCCGUAUACACGGGUUCGAAUCCCGUACCCACCUCCA